GACGAACGCUGGCGGCGUGCCUAACACAUGCAAGUCGAACGGAGAAGUUGAUUUCGGUUGACUUCUUAGUGGCGAACGGGUGAGUAACGCGUGAACAACCUGACCUUAAGAGGGGGAUAACAACGAGAAAUCGUUGCUAAUACCGCAUAAGACCACAACGCCACAUGGCGAAGGGGUCAAAGGAGCAAUCCGCUUAAGGAGGGGUUCGCGUCCCAUUAGGUAGUAGGCGGGGUAAUGGCCCACCUAGCCGACGAUGGGUAGCCGAGCUGAGAGGCUGAACGGCCACACUGGAACUGAGACACGGUCCAGACUCCUACGGGAGGCAGCAGUGGGGAAUAUUGGGCAAUGGGCGCAAGCCUGACCCAGCAACGCCGCGUGAGGGAAGAAGGUUUUCGGAUUGUAAACCUCUGUCGCAGAUGACGAAGGAAGUGACGGUAAUCUGUGAGGAAGCCCCGGCUAACUACGUG
RNAcentral lists this ribosomal RNA (467 nucleotides) under uncultured bacterium. RNAcentral describes it as "bacterial SSU rRNA". It matches the Rfam family "Bacterial small subunit ribosomal RNA", at positions 28 to 507 of the family's 1533-position model. The record is from RNAcentral.